Molecule: non-coding RNA, 106 nt
Organism: Acanthosepion pharaonis
Lineage: Eukaryota; Metazoa; Mollusca; Cephalopoda; Sepiida; Sepiidae
Source: the annotation of a GenBank genome assembly
CGGCCAACACACAUUGAAACACUGGUUCCCGUACGAUCACUAAAGUUAAGCAAAGUUGUGCCUGGUCAGUAACUAUACGAGUGAUCGUUUGGGAAUAGCAGGUGCU